This 533-nucleotide long non-coding RNA is filed under the name Mytilus galloprovincialis (Mediterranean mussel). Lineage: Eukaryota; Metazoa; Mollusca; Bivalvia; Mytilida; Mytilidae. The record is from RNAcentral.
UGUUUAUUUCAUACAUGUGACGUGACUCUGUACUCAAACAUCCUGUCAUUGUGUUAUUGUGCUAUAGUACAACUUUAAAUUGUUGUCUUUCAUUUUAACUCAUGUGAUUUUUCUAUAUAUCAUUUUGUGCUUUUUUGUUACAUAUUUGUUUGUUUUUAUUGUGAUUAAGAUUUUAAAUAAAUGUUUACAACUGUACAAAAUGUAGUUUCAUUUAAAUAAUUUAUAAAAUCUUAUAGUUAUUUUUGCUCCGGUGGUAUUUGGAAAUAUUGAAUAGUAAUUGCAAAUAAAAAAAAAGCCUAGGGAAUUUAAUCGUUAAUGAUUUCACAGUUAGAAACUUUAUCAUCUUACAAUAUUAAAAUGUACAUGCAGCCAAACUGUAAAAACUGUGAAUUUUUAUGAUAGAUUUGGGGACUACAAGGUACCUGCUUCUGAGAUGGGCAGGAUGGAGGACAAUAUAAACAGUUACUGUGUUGUAUAAGUAGAACACAUUUUAAAACAGGAAAUUUUGUAAUUAAUUCAUGCCCUGAUUGUUU